Molecule: long non-coding RNA, 3260 nt
Filed under: Homo sapiens (human)
Lineage: Eukaryota; Metazoa; Chordata; Mammalia; Primates; Hominidae
Description: HSALNT0304265
Source: RNAcentral
CUCAUCAUACAAAAGAAUCCUAUAAAACAAAGAUAAUAACAAUGAAAUGUAACAAAUUAAUGAAUCUCAAAGAGAAGUUUAAGAAGAAGAAUUGAAACACACAAAUGUUAUAUUACAGUGUUUUAUUUAGAUAAAUUUCAAACUCCAUUAAUUAAUAUUAGAAGUUAGAAUAUUGAAUAUUUUGGAAGGUGAUCGUUAGGAAACUUAAAAAUUAACCAGGAUAAGAUACAGGAAGCAUUGCAUUCAAGGAGAGAAACUGUAAUUAUUUUUCAUGAAUAAGAGAAUUAAAUAUUUUUAAAAAAUAUUUUAACAUGUAAAAUAAGGAGUUUGACAUAGAUGAAUUUGAUGUUAUGCCUAAUUUUUCAAAUGCAUAUAUAUAUAAAUAAUUUAAUUUAUGGUAAGUUAACAUCAUCAUGAAGACAUAAAACUUUUUUUAUUAUUAUACUUUAAGUUCUGGGGUACACGUGCAGAAUGUUCAGGUUUUUUACUUAGGUAUACACGUGCCAUGGUGGUUUGCUGCACCCAUCAACCCAUCAUCUACAUUAGGUAUUUAACCCAGUGCUAUCCCUCCCCUGUCCCCCCACCCCCUGACAGGCCCUGGUGUGUGAUGUUCCCCUCCCUGUGUCCAUGUGAUCUCAUUGUUCAACUCUCACUUAUGAGUGAGAACAUGAGGUGUUUUGUUUUCUGUUCUUGUGUUAGUUUGCUGAGAAUGAUGGUUUACAGCUUCAUCCAUGUCCCUGCAAAGGACAUGAACUCAUCCUUUUUUAUGGCUGCAUAGUAUUCCAUGGUGUAUAUGUGCCACAUACAUUUGUUUUACAGUCUGUGAAGAGAUUCAGUGAAUAUCACAUUUAAAGACCUGUAUUUACCUCCCCGUCUCUCCCGUGUAACAAAACCUAAAACUACAAAGGAAAAGAUAAGGAAUAUCAUUGCCCUUGGGACACUGGUAAAACUAAUUGAACUUUGGAGAUGGGAAAACAAAAAAGAGGAAAAAAAUAUGUGGAGGAUUUAGAUGUACACCUGAAGUUUGGACAGGAUCAUUAAGAAGGUUCCAGCCAUGAAGACCCAGAAACAGUGUCAACCUGUGACUGAGCUUCAUCAGAAUGACAGAGUAUGCUUCUCCAUCCUCAUCCCCACUCCCAACUAGGCUAACAAUUGUUGAGUAACAGGUCAAAGCAGUGUCUUCUGGGGGACUGAACGGAAUUUGAAGGGAAACUUAAAGGUGAGGAUACAGCAGAUACUGAGAAAAGCUGCUGAACCAGUCCAAUCCGAAACACAAAGUAAUGCUAGAUGAGCAGGAAACCUAUGGUGCACUGAAAUUAACUCUAAGAGGAACAAGACCCAAAACCAAAUCAACUCCUGACUAGAUUGAUUCAACCUUCUCCCUCAAAACACACACAUUCAGCCUAGUAAAAGGGAACACAUGUUGGUUUUGCUUUCUAUAUUAGUCUACUCUACACAGUUCACUUUUUGAGUAAAACUUACCAGACAUAUAUAGAAACAGAAAAGAUACAUAAAGGAAACACUGUUAAGAGACUAAGCAAUAAAUAAAGCCAGAUUCAAAUGUGGCAGAGGUGUUGGAAUUACCUUUCAAGUAGAUCUCAUAGGUACUGUUUUAGAAGCCCUUAGUAGGGUAUAAAGCCUCCUUUUUUUUUUAUUAUACUUACGUGACAAGAUCAUCCUUUUAUCCUCUUAUAUAAAAAAAUUUCUAAUCCACAUUCAUCUCCGUAUUGGCAGUUACAUUUUUUGACACUUUACAAAUAUUAGUCCACUGUCUUAUUCUUACAUUUAUGAUUGUGGAGCAGUCUGUUGUCAUUCUAUUAUGUGUUCCCUCAAAAUGAAACAGUUUAUUUUGGCUUCUUUUAAGAGAUUCUUCAUCUUCAGUAGUGGUUUCAAACUUAAACACAUCAUCAUGAAUCAGCCACCAAAGAAGAAAAUUACUAAAAAUCAGCCAAAAUAUAUUGUUUUGCACAUUCAAUACAAAGUAAAGUUAUAUUUUACACAUCCAAAAUGGGGAUUGGUUGGCUUCCUGAAUUCAUUUGUUUACUCUGAAAAAAUUAUCAAACAUUAUACCCUUGAAUAUGUUCUCUCCUCAUCUUCUCUAGUUAGCUCUACUUUGUGCUACAGCCAAUCACACAUGAUGCUGUUUAUAAAGCACAUACAUGAUACUCUCAUCCUCGAUGUGUCACUCACUCUCCUAGUUUACCUCUGUUUGUCCAUCUGUGAAGCCCUCAUGACAUAUCUUUAUAUCUAUUAACCAAUUCACACUUUCUGCAGCUUCAUUUAAGUUGCUAAACAAAGUUUUCACUAAACAGCAAAUUUUACUUAUUUCACUUUUUAUCAAUAUAAAUUAUAAUUUUUAUUCUUCAAUGUCUGCCAAAUGUGAAAAAAAAUUCAUGUAUAUAUUAUAUAUAUUUAUAUAUGUAUGUGUUAUAUGGAUAUACACAAAAUUGCUAUUGGUAAAGGUGGUUUUCAUAGGAGCCUAUAAUUACUAGAGAUUUUAUUUUUCCUUAAAGAUAUUAUAUUUCCUUAAAGAUAUUCUAUUUCUUAAUUUAUAAUACAGAUAAUUCUUAUGCUUUUAUUAAAAACAUAAAAUAACAGGCUGGGUGCAGUGGCUCACGUCCAUAAUUUUAGCUCUUUGAGAAAAUGAGCCUAGCAGUUUAAGGCUGCAAUGAACUGUGAUUGUACCACUGCACUCCAGCCUGGGCUACAGAACCAGAAUAUGUACAUAUAUACAUAAAUUGACAGUAAUGCAUUAAAACCUGAAAUCAAGUUUUAAAAGCAACAGCAAAGUGCAUUUCCAGUCUAGUUCAGUGACUAUUAAAAUUAAAGCCAACUUCAGGCAAAACAUUUCCAAAAACAUAAGACAAAAAACAAACACAAAGAAAAAGGAGAAAAAAUAUUCCAGACUUUUGAAGACAUUUAUUAAAAUCAUAAAUUGAUGGUAUCCUCUUUCUCAUCUUUUGAUGAGUAAAAUAAAGUACCCCAAAAAUUAUCUACAAAUUUGGUAUUUGAGGGUUCUUUUGUUGUAAACUCAGUGGUUCUUGAUGAGAGGAAGUUUAAAGUUUAUUUAUGGAAAUUAGCCAAGGUGUCGAAUCAAUCAUUUUUUCUCCUCUGGUGAAACCUAAUCAAGAACCCUAAUGGCUAUCCCAAACUCCAAGAAACAUACAACCUUUUCAAAAGGGCUGUGAUUUUUCAGAGAUUCAAUACAAAGAGGUACAAGGAGCCAAGCUCAUUCUUCUCUGGGACACACAGAGUGGCUU